GACGAACGCUGGCGGCGUGCUUAACACAUGCAAGUCGAACGGAAAGGCCCUGCUUUUGUGGGGUGCUCGAGUGGCGAACGGGUGAGUAACACGUGAGUAACCUGCCCUUGACUUUGGGAUAACUUCAGGAAACUGGGGCUAAUACCGGAUAGGAGCUCCUGCUGCAUGGUGGGGGUUGGAAAGUUUCGGCGGUUGGGGAUGGACUCGCGGCUUAUCAGCUUGUUGGUGGGGUAGUGGCUUACCAAGGCUUUGACGGGUAGCCGGCCUGAGAGGGUGACCGGCCACAUGGGGACUGAGAUACGGCCCAGACGCCUACGGGAGGCAGCAGUGGGGCAUAUUGCACAAUGGGCGGAAGCCUGAUGCAGCAACGCCGCGUGCGGGAUGACGGCCUUCGGGUUGUAAACCGCUUUCGCCUGUGACGAAGCGUGAGUGACGGUAAUGGGUAAAGAAGCAACGGCUAACUACGUG
Molecule: ribosomal RNA, 468 nt
Filed under: uncultured bacterium
Lineage: Bacteria
Description: partial 16S ribosomal RNA
Rfam family: Bacterial small subunit ribosomal RNA
Source: RNAcentral